AAGUCGUAACAAGGUUUCCGUAGGUGAACCUGCGGAAGGAUCAUUAUUGAAAACAAGGGUGUCCAAUUUAACUUGGAACCCGAACUUCUCAAUUCUAACUUUGUGCAUCUGUAUUAUGGCGAGCAGUCUUCGGAUUGUGAGCCUUCACUUAUAAACACUAGUCUAUGAAUGUAAAAUUUUUAUAACAAAUAAAAA
This 195-nucleotide unclassified non-coding RNA is filed under the name plant metagenome. Its description in RNAcentral is "partial contains small subunit ribosomal RNA and internal transcribed spacer 1". The stretch from base 1 to 46 matches the Rfam family "Eukaryotic small subunit ribosomal RNA", at positions 1786 to 1831 of the family's 1831-position model. The record is from RNAcentral.